UACGGGGGGAGCAAGCGUUGUUCGGAUUUACUGGGCGUAAAGGGCGCGUAGGCGGUCAGCACAAGUCAGUUGUGAAAUCUCCGGGCUUAACUCGGAAAGGUCAACUGAUACUGUGCGACUAGAGUGCGGAAGGGGCAACUGGAAUUCUCGGUGUAGCGGUGAAAUGCGUAGAUAUCGGGAGGAACACCGGUGGCGAAGGCGGCGGCCUGGUUCGAUACUGACACUGAGGUGCGAAAGCGUGGGGAGCAAACAGG
RNAcentral lists this ribosomal RNA (254 nucleotides) under uncultured prokaryote. RNAcentral describes it as "partial 16S ribosomal RNA". It matches the Rfam family "Bacterial small subunit ribosomal RNA", at positions 524 to 776 of the family's 1533-position model. The record is from RNAcentral.